GCCUCGUGAAUUCAUCUCCGGGGGUAGAGCACUGGUUCGGCUAGGGCGCCAGCCCAGCUUACCAGCCCAAUGCAAACUGCGAAUACCGGAGAAUGUUAUCACGGGAGACACACGGCGGGUGCUAACGUCCGUCGUGAAGAGGGAAACAACCCAGACCGCCAGCUAAGGUCCCAAAGUCAUGGUUAAGUGGGAAACGAUGUGGGAAGGCCCAGACAGCCAGGAUGUUGGCUUAGAAGCAGCCAUCAUUUAAAGAAAGCGUAAUAGCUCACUGGUCGAGUCGGCCUGCGCGGAAGAUGUAACGGGGCUAAACCAUGCACCGAAGCUGCGGCAGCGAACGUAUCACUUAAAGCGAUUCAGCGGGUUACGAUUGACGGAGCGAAGCGACGUCAAAGCGUAUACAAAGUCGAGUCGGUUUAAGGAUACGUUCGUUGGGUAGGGGAGCGUUCUGUAAGCCCGUGAAGGUGGCCUGUGAGGGUUGCUGGAGGUAUCAGAAGUGCGAAUGCUGACAUAAGUAACGAUAAAGCGGGUGAAAAGCCCGCUCGCCGGAAGACCAAGGGUUCCUGUCCAACGUUAAUCGGGGCAGGGUGAGUCGACCCCUAAGGCGAGGCCGAAAGGCGUAGUCGAUGGGAAACGGGUUAAUAUUCCCGUACUUGGUGUUACUGCGAAGGGGGGACGGAGAAGGCUAUGUUGGCCGGGCGACGGUUGUCCCGGUUUAAGCGUGUAGGUGUGUGUUCCAGGUAAAUCCGGUUCACUUUAACACUGAGGCGUGACGACGAGGCACUACGGUGCUGAAGCAACAAAUGCCCUGCUUCCAGGAAAAGCCUCUAAGCAUCAGGUAACAUCAAAUCGUACCCCAAACCGACACAGGUGGUCAGGUAGAGAAUACCAAGGCGCUUGAGAGAACUCGGGUGAAGGAACUAGGCAAAAUGGUGCCGUAACUUCGGGAGAAGGCACGCUGACACGUAGGUGAAGUGAUUUACUCAUGGAGCUGAAGUCAGUCGAAGAUACCAGCUGGCUGCAACUGUUUAUUAAAAACACAGCACUGUGCAAACACGAAAGUGGACGUAUACGGUGUGACGCCUGCCCGGUGCCGGAAGGUUAAUUGAUGGGGUCAGCGUAAGCGAAGCUCCUGAUCGAAGCCCCGGUAAACGGCGGCCGUAACUAUAACGGUCCUAAGGUAGCGAAAUUCCUUGUCGGGUAAGUUCCGACCUGCACGAAUGGCGUAAUGAUGGCCAGGCUGUCUCCACCCGAGACUCAGUGAAAUUGAACUCGCUGUGAAGAUGCAGUGUACCCGCGGCAAGACGGAAAGACCCCGUGAACCUUUACUAUAGCUUGACACUGAACAUUGAGCCUUGAUGUGUAGGAUAG
Molecule: ribosomal RNA, 1368 nt
Filed under: Salmonella enterica subsp. enterica serovar Typhimurium
Lineage: Bacteria; Pseudomonadati; Pseudomonadota; Gammaproteobacteria; Enterobacterales; Enterobacteriaceae
Description: bacterial LSU rRNA
Rfam family: Bacterial large subunit ribosomal RNA
Source: RNAcentral